AGUCUGACGGAGCAACGCCGCGUGAACGAAGAAGGUCUUCGGAUUGUAAAGUUCUGUGAUUCGGGACGAAAGGGUUUGUGGUGAAUAAUCAUAGACAUUGACGGUACCGAAAAAGCAAGCCACGGCUAACUACGUGCCAGCAGCCGCGGUAAUACGUAGGUGGCAAGCGUUGUCCGGAAUUAUUGGGCGUAAAGCGCGCGCAGGCGGUUUCUUAAGUCCAUCUUAAAAGCGUGGGGCUCAACCCCAUGAGGGGAUGGAAACUGGGAAGCUGGAGUAUCGGAGAGGAAAGUGGAAUUCCUAGUGUAGCGGUGAAAUGCGUAGAGAUUAGGAAGAACACUGGUGGCGAAGGCGACUUUCUAGACGAAAACUGACGCUGAGGCGCGAAAGCGUGGGGAGCCAACAGGAUUAGAUACCCUGGUAGUCCACGCCGUAAACGAUGGAUACUAGGUGUAGGAGGUAUCGACCCCUCCUGUGCCGGAGUUAACGCAAUAAGUAUCCCGCCUGGGGAGUACGAUCGCAAGAUUAAACUCAAAGGAAUUGACGGGGCCCGCACAAGCGGUGGAGUAUGUGGUUUAAUUCGACGCAACGCGAGAACCU
RNAcentral lists this ribosomal RNA (597 nucleotides) under Dialister pneumosintes. Its description in RNAcentral is "bacterial SSU rRNA". It matches the Rfam family "Bacterial small subunit ribosomal RNA", at positions 380 to 971 of the family's 1533-position model. The record is from RNAcentral. Lineage: Bacteria; Bacillati; Bacillota; Negativicutes; Veillonellales; Veillonellaceae.